UUUUCAUAAGAACUUGGUAGAAAACAAAGUGAGACUACUCUUUAACCAUUUACCAAUGUCCAUCAAUCAACUUUAAAUCACCGUCAAGAUACAACUACAUUGGCAAUAGACAAAUGCUUCCCUGUACACACUAUCCACUGAACAGCCCCCUUGUCAUCAAUGCCAAUGGGAGAAAAAAAACCCACUACUUUAUUAACAGCCAAACGACAUUUCCAUGUAAAAAAAAAAAGUGUAGUCGUCUCUCCUGUUUUUACCCUCUCCGUCCUCCUCGUGGCAAAACAACACAUUGAACAUUGCAAGCUCAUUACUAUGCAUAAUUGGCAAACAAUAUAUUUAAAAAACAGUCCCAAUGUUUAUUUUCUUAUUUUUUUUUGUUCAUCGUUGAUAUAAAGAAUAUAAAAUAAUAAUAAAAAGAUGUAUGUUUUUAUCAUUUGUUCAAAGGUUGUGUCUGAGUGUAUUAAAAUAGAUUUGUAUUGAAACACUGCACAGUUUCUCCCGGAGGAUUCUGGGUGAUGUAGUCUGGGAUACCUCUGGAUGGGGAUAAUGGAUGAAGGGCACACUGUGGAGGUGGUAGAAGCUGCUUCACUAAAAACCUCUGAUCUGGAGUCAGGUUAUGUAUUCUGUAUUCUCCUAAUGUUAAAGUGAGCCUGAUCCUAGAUCUGUGGGGUUGAACUUGAUGCAACGUGAUAUGGCACCAGUCUUUCCCUCUCUUGGGGAUUUGAUUCCCAUCAGAAUGGUAGACCGUAUGCUGUGCAGAUGCUCGUCUCUGUCACGGUCUGGCGUGAUAUUCCAUGUUGGAAGAGGCAGAGCUCAUGAUAUGUAUUGAAUGUUGGACAAGACUAAGGAAUGGUAAAGCCCUAUUAGAAAGAAAGAGUCAGACAGACGGACGGACGGAUCAAUAGAUAGAUAGAUAGAUAGAUCAGUAGACAGACAGACGGAUCAGCAGAUAGACAGAUAGAUAGAUCAGUAGACAGACAGACAGAUCAGUAGAUAGACAGCUAGAUAGAUAGAUCAGUAGACAGACAGACAGUCAUGUGUCUAUGUUAGUUAGUUGAUAUGGAUGUCCUCAGUGUGUUUUGAGGCUUGGUAUGGAUGUCCUCAGUGUGUUUUGAGGCUUGGUAUGGAUGUCCUCAGUGUGUUUUGAGGCUUGGUAUGGAUGACAGUUGGAUCAGUCCUCUCUAUAGUCCUAGCGCUGUCAACAACUCCUGCCCAAAGUGUUCUACACUACAUCAUAGAUUCCGGUCUCUUAAAUAAAAUAAAAUAAUAAUCUCCAAAAAACAAGUCUUUUAUUCGAUAUGUAUUGGUGGUCUCUUCUAAUUAUUGCAUUUACCUUCUCAUUUGAUCAGUUUGGUUCCAACACAAAUACA
Long non-coding RNA from Oncorhynchus tshawytscha (Chinook salmon), 1367 nucleotides. Lineage: Eukaryota; Metazoa; Chordata; Actinopteri; Salmoniformes; Salmonidae. The record is from Ensembl.